UACGGAGGAUGCGGGCGUUAUCCGGAUUUAUUGGGUUUAAAGGAUGCGUAGGCGGAUUUUUAAGUCAGCGGUAAAAUGUCCGGGCUCAACCCGGGCCGGCCGUUGAAACUGGGGAUCUUGAGUGGGCGAGAAGUAUGCGGAAUGCGUGGUGUAGCGGUGAAAUGCAUAGAUAUCACGCAGAACUCCGAUUGCGAAGGCAGCAUACCGGCGCCCGACUGACGCUGAGGCACGAAAGCGUGGGGAUCGAACAGG
This 252-nucleotide ribosomal RNA is filed under the name uncultured bacterium. Its description in RNAcentral is "partial 16S ribosomal RNA". It matches the Rfam family "Bacterial small subunit ribosomal RNA", at positions 524 to 776 of the family's 1533-position model. The record is from RNAcentral.